UACGUAGGGACCAAGCGUUGUUCGGAUUUACUGGGCGUAAAGGGCGCGUAGGCGGCAUAUUAAGUCAGCUGUGAAAUCUCCGAGCUUAACUCGGAACUGUCAGCUGAUACUGACGUGCUAGAGUGCAGAAGGGGCAAUCGGAAUUCUUGGUGUAGCGGUGAAAUGCGUAGAUAUCAAGAGGAACACCUGAGGUGAAGACGGGUUGCUGGGCUGACACUGACGCUGAUGCGCGAAAGCCAGGGGAGCAAACGGG
Molecule: ribosomal RNA, 253 nt
Filed under: uncultured Acidobacteriota bacterium
Lineage: Bacteria; Pseudomonadati; Acidobacteriota
Description: uncultured Acidobacteria bacterium partial 16S ribosomal RNA
Rfam family: Bacterial small subunit ribosomal RNA
Source: RNAcentral